This 1892-nucleotide long non-coding RNA is filed under the name Cyanistes caeruleus (blue tit). RNAcentral's name for it is "lncRNA (ENSCCEG00000006025.1)". Lineage: Eukaryota; Metazoa; Chordata; Aves; Passeriformes; Paridae. The record is from RNAcentral.
CCCAGCCAAUCUACAAUGAUGGAACUAUUAAAAUUAAGCGCUACUAUAUUUCCUCAGUCCCAUGACAAUUUUACAAUGGAAACAAACAAAAGACUAGAAUUAACUUUUUUUUUUUAUUACAGUUAUUUGGUUUUAUUUACUUACAGGAGGAUUUUAGGCUUCUGUGCAACCUGCUGUGUCUGUGCUCUGUGCAUUUUGAGAUUUCUUUUUCAGACACCUAUGCUGGAUGAAGCUUGGCCUGCAACUGGAACAUUUUGGAAAGCAAAUGUAGGAAGUGAGCACAGCAGACUGUGUGAGGAGCAGACAUUUACAGGACAACCUUUCAUAAUCACCAGGACAUCUCAGUGAGAUGAAAAAUGAAAGGUCAAACUUGCCAAACCCAGGAUUGCCUCCUAGAAGAGAGCCCAUUGGAGAUAAGGCAAAGUUACGUGAGUUUGGGACCUGGCAUGACCUACUUACCAGGCAGAGUUAUGAGAACCCAUGUUAGGACAGUUUGUUUUUCAGCCUGGUUUCUCAUGGGAACAAGGCUUAUGCAAUCGUACUGUCUGUGUGUCUGUGUCUACAUCCUCCUCCCCUCCCCAAUAACUUUUGGACUCAUUGCUCAAUUUCAACAGGGGGGGUAGAGGUUCCAGGGGUGCUUCUGAUCCUGCAGGCAUUUUACAGUCAGAGGAGAGUGAAGCUACAGGUGUUCUCUGCAGCGAGAGUGUGUGUGGCUCAGCCAGGAGAGCCGUGCAGAGGCGGUGGCACAGUGGAGGAUCCACACAGCACAUUCUGCUGCUCCUUUUUGACAUGACACACUCACUGGUGAGCCCCUCAAAGCUCAGCUCCUGCUUUUCUACUUUUUCUGUAAAACAGGGUGGAUUUGAGAGGCUCUGUUAACUAACAGCCUUUUAAAACAUGCUGAGGGACGGCAGGUGAGCAUCCCUGCUGCAACCUGAUGUGGUUAAAGCAAGGUUAGAGGGGGAUGAGGAGCUCCUCUGGGCUUGGGAGCCUCUGACCUGAGCAAAAGUUCCCUCUGCCAGGGCUACAAGGGAUGUGAUGCUGCUGAAGUUUGUUGUUGUAGCACUCACACCCAGGACUCAGGAAUCAGCUCCAGUCAGGGUCUCACACAGACCUGGUGCAGCUCCUUUUAACCUCCCUGCCUUCCAAAGGAUUCCUUGCCAGCACUGCCACGUGAACUCAGCUAAUUACAGGGGAGGAAAUUACAGCCCCACAGACUUCACAGAGAAUAUUCGGCACAGGUACAGCACUUAAUGAUAGGCAAUUAAAACGCUCUAUAUCUAAUUCCUAAGAAAUGGUGGGUUUGGAGAGGGACCACUUCCAGUGAGCAGGUGAUAAUGAACUCCCCAGAUCACAGAGGCAUCAUUUCAAAAUGAUAGUGUGAAUUUAUUAAACAUGCUAUGGAAGACAAAUGUUAUUAUAUGAAUACACAGGGAAAGAAAAUAGAUCAGGAAAACUCCUUGGGUUUCUGCUAGCAUAUUACAUGCAUGACAGUUUCUUUUGGCUCAUAAAUAACAACACAAGAACACACAUGAAUACUUCCAAUGAUUUGUAGGGGAUUUUAGGGCUCUUGUCCUCAUAAAUUCUCAUUUUUUGGGCAAACUGGGUUGCAUGAUGGCUUAACAGAUGAGGAAAGACAAUGUUUCCUUUUAUUUCAUUUAAGUUUCCCAAAAGAGCUUGAAAAACUGUUAUUUUAAACAUUGCAUAUUUAGAUAAAAACAGGUGUAACUAAUUAAUGGGUUUUUGGAGGGGCAAAAAGACCCUCCCAGGACAUAAUCCAAAAUUGUGAUACCUCUUGAAAUGAGUUCAGGGCAAUCUCAGAAUAGUAAUUUCUUCUAGAGCAGAUACUGGAGAGUGAAGGGUUUGUCAAUAAAGUCUGUUUGUGAUCCUCA